Molecule: long non-coding RNA, 411 nt
Organism: Neofelis nebulosa (Clouded leopard)
Lineage: Eukaryota; Metazoa; Chordata; Mammalia; Carnivora; Felidae
Exons: 3
Source: RefSeq, a predicted model, not a curated record
GACGCGCAACGCCUCCACCCACUGUGGUUCGGGGAGCCGGGCGCCUUCGGCAGGACGUACCGGGGACAGUGGGCCCCCACAGCCCUCUUGAACUCUACGUGCAGUUAGGCGGUGGAGGGAACAAAAGAUACUCCUUGUCUGAAAAUUGCUGUGAGAGCAUUAAGGUUGGACAUAAGGAUCAGCCUUCCGGCUUGGAGGACUGGGUGCAAGGUGGGUGUGACAAAGAAAAGGAGCUCAAAACUGCCUCCUGUUCCAGCCUAACCAGACCACUGCAUUUGAUGAAAUGAGUUUGCAACUUAAAAUACCACAUAUGGAAACAAGCCACUAUUCAUAAGUCAGCAGAAAAAAAUGAAAUAAGGGCUCAGACCCAUCACACUGGCAAAGUAGAAUUUGAAGAUUCAAAAUACCAAA